This 257-nucleotide small RNA is filed under the name Pongo abelii (Sumatran orangutan). RNAcentral's name for it is "retained intron". Lineage: Eukaryota; Metazoa; Chordata; Mammalia; Primates; Hominidae. The record is from RNAcentral.
GCUUCUUGUAGUUUCCCAUUUCGGCACUUAUUACAUUGUGUUGACACUGCUGCUGUUCUAACUUUUGUUCUGUAUUGUUCACUACUAUAUCUCAGAUUUUUGCUAGGAUCUGACACAUAAGAGACUGAUUAAAUUAACGUCAAUUCUUUUUGUCAGGUGAGCCGUUCUCCAACCCUUUGGCCCCCGAUGGCCACGAUGUGGAUGAUCCUCACUCCUUCCACCAAUCAAAACUCACCAAUGAAGACUUCAGGAAACUU